GAUUAACGCUAGCGGCAGGCCUAAUACAUGCAAGUCGAACGGGAUUUCGGGGUANCAAUAUCUGAAUGAGAGUGGCGCACGGGUGCGUAACACGUAUGCAAUCUAACCUCUGACUGGGGGAAUAGCCUUCCGAAAGGAAGAUUAAUACCGCAUAACAUAAUGAAGUGGCAUCACUUUAUAUCAAACUACUGUGGUCAGAGAUGAGCAUGCGCCGAUUAGCUAGUUGG
This 227-nucleotide ribosomal RNA is filed under the name uncultured bacterium. RNAcentral describes it as "partial 16S ribosomal RNA". It matches the Rfam family "Bacterial small subunit ribosomal RNA", at positions 28 to 252 of the family's 1533-position model. The record is from RNAcentral.